Long non-coding RNA from Tyto alba (common barn owl), 3158 nucleotides. RefSeq lists it as uncharacterized. Lineage: Eukaryota; Metazoa; Chordata; Aves; Strigiformes; Tytonidae. The transcript is spliced from 9 exons. The record is from RefSeq and is a predicted model, not a curated record.
GUUGAUAAGGCACUGAUGUUUUUAGUUGUUGCUAAGAAAUCAGGGACUUUUCAACUCCCUGUGUCUUGCUAGUGUGCAGGUGCACAAGAAGCUGGGAGGGAGCACGGCCAGAGCAGUGGGCCCAAAUUGGGGAAUGGAAUAUUCCAUAUCAUACAUCGUCAGUAUAUAGAUGAGGGUUGGCCGGGAAGCUGUCUUACUUUUCCAGGAUCACGGUUUUGGGAUUUUCUCUCCUCUGGGAUCACUAGCUGGGAACAGGCUGGGUAUCAGUCAGCAGGUGGUAAGCAAUCAUGAUGCUUUCCAGAAUGGGACUGGAUGUUUUUUAUGGAUUUUCUUCAGAAAAAAGCCACUUCUGUGGCUUUCAUUCAGCCAAGAUCUCAGUACAGUGCAUAUACAAAGCUGAAUACAUUUCAUUUUGUGAGGUAUGGUAGGAACAGCAUCGGAAGUGCAAAGAGGUGUUAAUAGAGAGUCAGACUGAAGAUGAAGCUGAAUUAAUAUUAAUUUUGCUAUCAAGUGGGAAACCUGUGCAUUCCUGUGAUUUGACUGGGGAAAGGAGAGGCUAAGUGCUAGGGAUAAGGUGUGCAUAGAAUACCAUACAGUAUCAGGAGAUGGGCUUACUUGUUCUUGUAUGAAAUGGACAAUCUUAAGACAUCAAACCUGACUCAGGAAUAGUGGGAAUUGUAGCACCAAGACCUGGUGUUUCCAGGCUAGACCUUUUUUCCUUCCCUCUUCUGUGCGAGGAAUGGGCAAUGGGGUACAGCUAAUUCCCUCCUGAAGGAGCCAGGAGCAGCUGCAAACACCUCUCAGCAAAGCUGAAGACAGAAGACGAAGUGGAGGAACUGCUGACAGCAGAAUGUUAGAAGUUACAUCCAGAAAAGAAUCAGUGCGAUCUUAACCAGCUGCUGGCCUAACAAACAGAUUCUUGGAGAAUUUCCUAACCCUUGCUGCAUUUGAAAGAAGCUGCUGUGUCCCAUAAUUCAGGUAUUGACACUGCAUGCCUGGAAAGGGGGAAGUCAGAAAAUGUAGUGCAGUAAAGAGGAACCGUAGUCUUUGGACUGAAGUCACUGUUGAGGUAGGCUUUUACUUUAGAAAAAAAAUAAUUACCACAUUUAAUUUUUUUUUUGUUAAUAUCCACUAACUAAUGACUUUCAGCUGCUUCUCUCCUGCUGCAAAAGCAGGAAUGGGGUCAUUCUUUUUCCUAAGUUUGCAAAUUGAACCACUGUGCAAUGGAAAGACUACACGUACUUGAAAAAAAAAGUAUUUAUUGUAUUUGAUGUAAAACAAUAGUGUACAAAGUAAAAUGUGUUCACAAAUUUUUGUGUUUUAAAUUCUUGUCCUCUGAACCAAACAAUUAAGAUGUCUUCUGAUCAGUGGAGCGGUACGAUCCCAGGAAAGGAGAGCUACACUUGAUCUAUCACUGUGCAAAAGGAGCAGCAGGGGGUAUGGAAGGCAUUUUCAGAACAUGGAAGGUCUGACACUUCUGGUAAAAGUUAACCUAAACAAGACAGAGAGAGAAUGCUGAUCUUUGUUUUAACUUCAGUCCCAUCCUAUCACCAGGAUGAUGGCUGGUCACUUUUCACAGAUAAUUUCUGCUUCCAGUCAACCUCCCCCAGCCCCAUCCCCAAGUUUGGCUUUUUAAUUUGGCAUAGAAGUUACAAACAAAAUUUUAAGUACAGAAGAGAGUUUCAUCAAAUUUCAGAGGUUACUAAUGUUGGUCAAAUUACUGGAGUGCAUAAAAUCAUUCAAAUCAAGAGUCCUUGUAAUCUGCAAAUGGAAUGGCUGUAUCACCAAAGAGCAAGGAUAAACCCCAAAUCUCUUGUAUUAAAGAACUACCUAAAGCCACAGUGAAGGGUGUGUGUGUGGGGGUGUGUGUGUGUGUAGUUUGUUUUGUGCACAUGCGUUCUUGGUUACAGUGAGUCUCUGGGAGACAUAAAUACUGAGCGGUAAAUGUUUCUGUCAGCUGAUUGUUUUAGCAGUCACGUAAUCCUUCCUUUGAUGUCUUGGGUCAGUGAAAUCCUAGUACCAUCGGGGUUUAGUAGGAGAUAUAUUAAAAGAGUUUCUCUGUGAUCUUUCCUGCAAUGGAAACAGCAGUAGAAGUUAUUACUCUGUCACAGUAAAGGAGUAUCUGUGCAUUCUUGAUUGCCCCAGCUUUCCAAAUUGGGUUAUUUUUUAGGUUACCAGUAGAGCAUAACUGUGGUUACAGAGUUAACAAUGAUCUCUUGAUUUCUAGAGCUACCACAACGAGGUCUGGAGAAGAUGGGGAAGAUCCACAGUGCAAGCACAUUCUCUUGGUUAUUAGCAGGUUACUCUGAAAAUUAUGCUGGAGGAACUAUAGGAAGACAGUUCCUAGUACAGUAGUACCAGAACAAACUGCAUCUCUGUGUUUCUGGCCUUCAGACACUUGAAGGCAUCUACCAGAUUAAAAAUUGUUGAACGUAACUCAAGAUUCCUGUGGGUCCUCAAAAACUGGGAGCACACAAGCAAGUCUCAGCCCUACCUGUUUUAGAAGGUGACCCUCCUACCCUGUAAGUGAUAUCCUGGUACCCUACAGUCUGAUCCACCUUUCCCAAAAAGUCUUGUUGGCAGGCACAGUUCUUUGUACAGAGGAACAACAUGGCUGUCCAUAAACAAACUUGCUUUCGUGUUAUCUAUCAUCUACUGUAUUUCAAAUAACUAAAAUAAACACCACAAAUUCAGAUGGAACUCAUUAUCAAGUACUGCUACAUGUACAGGAUUGGACAGGAGAAAAUUAAGAUUUCUGCUUGGUACCAAUUAGAAAAUUAUGAUUUUGCUAAAUUAAAUGCCUGAAUUUUGAUACCACAAAUCAACUGUAAAGUUAUGUGAACAACCAGGGCAAUCAGUCCAUCAGAUGAGUUAUAUCAUUAAGGAAAAAUCUGAGGUAUGCUGUACUUGGAAGAGACCUUCAUACCAAUCCUAAUUGCCUAUGUGUUAAAAAUGCAUGUAUAGACACUGUAAGGUUACCUCUGACUACUCAAAUAGACUGAAAAAUGGGGAAUAUAUUUGCAAGUUACCAGUUUAUAGCCUGCAGCAAUCUUUAUUUCAUGAAUAUUCCUUGCAAUUCUGCUUCUUCUCUGGUGAUCCCUCCCCAUUAAGUUAAGAAACAAGAUAGAUUAUGUAUGAUAUUAAACAGCUUCUUCCUG